AGGUCACUCUUGAUGAUGUCGAGUCUGACGGAGCACGCCGCGUGAGUGAUGAAGGUUUUCGGAUCGUAAAGCUCUGUUGUUAGGGAAGAACAAGUGCAAGAGUAACUGCUUGCACCUUGACGGUACCUAACCAGAAAGCCACGGCUAACUACGUGCCAGCAGCCGCGGUAAUACGUAGGUGGCAAGCGUUGUCCGGAAUUAUUGGGCGUAAAGGGCUCGCAGGCGGUUUCUUAAGUCUGAUGUGAAAGCCCCCGGCUCAACCGGGGAGGGUCAUUGGAAACUGGGAAACUUGAGUGCAGAAGAGGAGAGUGGAAUUCCACGUGUAGCGGUGAAAUGCGUAGAGAUGUGGAGGAACACCAGUGGCGAAGGCGACUCUCUGGUCUGUAACUGACGCUGAGGAGCGAAAGCGUGGGGAGCGAACAGGAUUAGAUACCCCGGUAGUCAGAG
Molecule: ribosomal RNA, 447 nt
Filed under: bacterium
Lineage: Bacteria
Description: bacterial SSU rRNA
Rfam family: Bacterial small subunit ribosomal RNA
Source: RNAcentral